UGGCGGCAGGCCUAACACAUGCAAGUCGAGCGGAUGAAGGGAGCUUGCUCCUGGAUUCAGCGGCGGACGGGUGAGUAAUGCCUAGGAAUCUGCCUGGUAGUGGGGGAUAACGUCCGGAAACGGGCGCUAAUACCGCAUACGUCCUGAGGGAGAAAGUGGGGGAUCUUCGGACCUCACGCUAUCAGAUGAGCCUAGGUCGGAUUAGCUAGUUGGUGGGGUAAAGGCCUACCAAGGCGACGAUCCGUAACUGGUCUGAGAGGAUGAUCAGUCACACUGGAACUGAGACACGGUCCAGACUCCUACGGGAGGCAGCAGUGGGGAAUAUUGGACAAUGGGCGAAAGCCUGAUCCAGCCAUGCCGCGUGUGUGAAGAAGGUCUUCGGAUUGUAAAGCACUUUAAGUUGGGAGGAAGGGCAGUAAGUUAAUACCUUGCUGUUUUGACGUUACCAACAGAAUAAGCACCGGCUAACUUCGUGCCAGCAGCCGCGGUAAUACGAAGGGUGCAAGCGUUAAUCGGAAUUACUGGGCGUAAAGCGCUCGUCGGUGGUUCAGCAAGUAGGAUGUGAAAUCCCCGGGCUCUUCCUGGGAACUGCAUCCUAACUACUUAUCUAUAGUAC
Molecule: ribosomal RNA, 616 nt
Filed under: Pseudomonas fluorescens
Lineage: Bacteria; Pseudomonadati; Pseudomonadota; Gammaproteobacteria; Pseudomonadales; Pseudomonadaceae
Description: bacterial SSU rRNA
Rfam family: Bacterial small subunit ribosomal RNA
Source: RNAcentral